RNAcentral lists this ribosomal RNA (150 nucleotides) under uncultured eukaryote. RNAcentral's name for it is "partial small subunit ribosomal RNA". It matches the Rfam family "Eukaryotic small subunit ribosomal RNA", at positions 1651 to 1801 of the family's 1831-position model. The record is from RNAcentral.
CCCUGCCAUUUGUACACACCGCCCGUCGCACCUACCGAUUGAAUGGUCCGGUGAAAUCUUGGGAGUUUUUAUAAUAUUUGUUUACAAAUUUAUAAAAAUAAACUUGAUUAAACCUUACCAUUUAGAGGAAGGUGAAGUCGUAACAAGGUU